CACCAGGGCACAUGAAUCAAGACAGGGUUUCUCCUCCUCCUCCUCCUCCUCUGCCCCUGCCCAGCUGUCCAGGCUUGCCUUACGCCAAAAUUGUGUGUCCUUAUCAACAGCUGAGAAGCCAGGCACAUCCUACCCAACCAAAAAGAAAAGUUUGUGCAGCCACCAAGACUAUCAGCAGAGCGACAAAAGGAAAUCAGAUAUUUUAAUGCAGAGAGCAGUCUGGACCUCUCCUUGCUGUUAGGAAACGUAUACCAUCUUUGAACUUUAAGAAACUAUGUAAGACCCAAUCCAGAAAUAAGUUGGCUUCUAAUUCCUGUCUUCAUCCCAACUGAUAUCCCUGGAGUUAAAUGCCUGGAUGCUAUUCAGGUAUGAGUCUAAACUACAGUAUUAUUAAUUGCAUAAUAACAACUAGUAGUAUUAAUGUUAUCUAACUGCAGUGCAAUCUUCACCCCUGGUCAUCCUAGACCACUUAUUCAGUCACAGGAGAGGAGCUGGCAAUGCCCCAUUUCUCUACAAAGCCGAUAUCCAAAUUAGGUAGAAAACUCCUUCCAGAAGUGAUUGCUUUUUUCUAUGGUGAGUAAGACAGCCCAAAUCAGUAGGGCUAUUUCCUCACAGACUGCUCCAUCCUUCUGUCUCCACUCUCAGAAGUGCCCUGGCCUUUGAUAGACACCCAUAAAUUAGGACUAAGUCUUGGAUGGGGGGGGGAGGAGGGAGGGCUACAGAAACAGCUCAAGCAGUGCUAUCAAGUUUCUGUUGCCACUUUUCUCAAAGGCAACCUCCCUUGGUUCAAUUGUCUUGAGCAAAUGGCAAAAAGACCUGUUGACUCAUGUAGUACAGGUUUCAAUGCUGCCCAGAAAUGAAUCCUUCCAAAGACGUUAGCAUUACUUAACAGCUUAACCUGUGUUCAGCCAAGGCUUUCAAGAAGGAUUAUUAUGGACACCACUACUGCUGGUGCUACCCACUUGGAGAUAUCUCCUGGCUUGGUUCUGUGAUUACUGCCCACUGGCACCAAGAAACAAAAAUAGCAAGAUGUUACAGAGAGGGUUACUGAUACUUAUUCCUGCCUCAUGAUCUACAAACAUUUGAUAUUUUUGACAAUAAAUUCAGCUACAGGACAAAAGGGAUCUGAUGUUAAAGCAGAACUUUUACUCGCUUUCAGUAAUCAACAGAAGUUGCUUUUGUGUGAUAGUCUUGGGUGAGGAAUUUCCAUCAGAGUAGCAUUCUUUUAAUGACUUCAUUAAAUCAGUAUACAUCUAAACAGAAACUCUUAUUUAUGUUUAGCUAGGCUAAUAAGCUUACGUCAAAAGUAAUUAUGAAUCAGUUUUUGUAAUGUAACUGUAAAAAUUAAUCCCUAAGCAGUUUCGGUUAAGCUGAGAAUAAAGUGUAAGAAACAUCCACAACAAAAUGAUUUAAAAUGUAGAUGGUUUUUCGUGUUGGUACUGCUGUAGCCUGCCAACUGAUUUCAUUCAUUUUCUCUGUUUCUUCAUAGCCCUCCUUGUAGAAAGAGCAAUGCUCUCUGGUCAAGUGGAAAUGCCAGACUUUAGCUAGGCACCCUCCUGGGCUUUCCAUCCUACCCCCAGAGAGGCAUCCAGUCUUGUGCCCGGCUCAGCCUUUAAAUAAAUAGCUAUGGCUAUUCUGUAAUGCAGAGUGUUUAAAACCUUCCCAUUCCCGUGGCGAUGCUCUGUCUGCUCACAAACAGGGUUAGCAGAGCUUUUCUCUGCUCUCUGCUGAGUUCACUUGCUGCUCCUCCAAAAUCACUGGCAGCACCUGGGCCCAAAUAGACACUUCUUUAGAUAAGUGCCAGCCUAACUCUUCCAGCUUCAUAUCAGCCCGAGAUAGAAGAACUGGUUUUGGAGGAACAAUGCUAUCUAAAUAGCUCCAAAAAUGAGCAUGAUGCAAGAGGCUCCCAGAGGUAUGUUUGUGUAAAUGUAAACAUCUGUUUCUGCAUUUGUUUUCAUAUUAAUGUUAUUUUAGUAUCUAUUUCAUUGCUAGCAUUCGAAUGCCAUAUACUGACGGUGCACAUUACAGUCCUCCCACACAGAUUGUUCCUGAACGCAGCGAUAACACUCUUCCAGCACUUUAUGCAUCAGAAAUAUUUAUUCACUUGCCUUCAUGGGAAUACAAGGCAAAGCAUACUAAAUCAAUAGCUAUGCAGAGGGUUUUGUUUUUCAGUAAGUCUCCAAAAUAAAAAUGACAAACUGAUUAAACGGAUCACAUCGUGCAGUUCCAAAGUCUGCUUUAUGGGCUAGGCUAUCUUAUUAAUCAAAUGCUGAGCCAAAGGAAA
Anas platyrhynchos (mallard) is the source of this 2284-nucleotide long non-coding RNA. RefSeq lists it as uncharacterized. NCBI's taxonomy places the organism in Eukaryota, Metazoa, Chordata, Aves, Anseriformes, Anatidae. The record is from RefSeq and is a predicted model, not a curated record.